This is a long non-coding RNA of Tyto alba (common barn owl), 1076 nucleotides long. RefSeq lists it as uncharacterized. The record is from RefSeq and is a predicted model, not a curated record. NCBI's taxonomy places the organism in Eukaryota, Metazoa, Chordata, Aves, Strigiformes, Tytonidae. The transcript is spliced from 2 exons.
UCCAUGUCUCUCUCUGUACGCAGAAUUGAUGCUAUGGUGGCAUCUCAGGUUUAUAUUUCUGUGGCCUCAGCUUGGCCCUGCAAUUGAACUGUUGAAGGGCUGUCACCUCUGUCCCUUUUAAUGGAUGUGACUGCGGAGAGCUGGGUAGAGGGUGUUCUUUCAAGCAGAAGGGUAUCAAUGGGGCUCAGCUUUAGUGGUGUCUGCCUCACCAGAACUUAUGCCUGCAGCAGAUGCUCUCUAACCAAAUGGCCAAGUGCUUCAUCAAUGCAACAACAGUUGUUCUGGAGACGGGCUUUGCUUCCUUCACAGAGAGAUGUCUUGCUUCAGACCCUGUCCCCCACGGCCCUGCUGUGCCUCUGGCCCAACCCCACUUGCAAGCAGCUGCAGUGAGCCCUGUGUUGCCCGCUGCGCUGACUCGACGGUGUUCAUCGAGCCCUCGCCGGUGGUGGUGACCCUGCCGGGCCCCAUCCUCAACUCUUUCCCUCAGAGCACGGCCGUGGGAUCGUCUCUGUCAGCUGCUGUUGGGAGCUCCCUCAGUGCCAGUGGAGUUCCCAUCUCUUCUGGGGGCUCCCUUGGUCUGGGCGGGUCCGGGAUGUGUCUGCCUGUCCCCCGCUGCAGUCUGAACUGCUGAAGCUGGCGAAUCAUCCCUUCGGGAGCAGGACGGAAGAUAGGACCCUGCAGCAGCAGGUCAUGGACAUGUCUUGCAGACAGGCUUGGUGUCCUCAUGCCACCUGGCAGGAGGGACCUGUGCCCACUUCUCCUCGCUGCACAGCUGGUGUGGCCGUGUCUCCUCUGGCUCUUCUUUGCUCUGAGCCCUCCGGAAAGGGCUCCUUUUCUUCUGCUUUGCUGAACCCCCUGCUGAAAGGGAGAGGGUGCUGGAUUUAGGGACCACUCUUGCUGGGCUGCCAUUGCCACCAGGGUGAGCAGAAUGGGAAAAGGCAAGCGCUUUGUAUGCAGCUUGUCCUUGGGGAACGGGCCAUCCUCUGUGCGUCCCUCAAUCCUGCAGAUGUUUUCCUUGGUCUCUGUUCUGUGCCACUGCAUUUCCCCCCUUCUCAUUAAAGCCUUUGUGCAGCAGA